AGUACAAAGUGGGUUUACCGGUUGAUAAUAAUGCAGUAUAAAGUACAGUAUAAAGUAAUAGUGCAUAGUAAUAGUGAACUGUUAAGUUAAGUGUAGCUUAUUAAGAUUAUAAUGAUAAUAACAUUCUGUAUUGGUGGAAAGUAAUCCAGUACAUUUCAUCAAGUACUUUACUUAAGUAUAGUUUUAAUGUACUUUUACUAACGUCCAAAAAUCCUCGCUAACGUUUUAAAAAGGCUUUAAAGUACAGAAUGGGGUUUUUCCUCUCUAACUAAUCCCAUUUGUCCGAGUGACAGACACUAGUUUGUCAUGUACGUUUACUAGAUAACAGUUCAUUUAGUAAUUCGGCUACAUCGCGAAAUAAAUGUUAAUGCUUAUAAAAUCUAAAAAUGAGAAGCCUGCUAACAGCUUUGAUCCUGCCCUUGAUUUGAUGAGGGACAUUUGGGUGCAGGAGGUUUGUAGUGAACAGACAUUUUAUGUUGUCGCAGUACUGAAAUAUAAAAGGUCUUAAAACCAGGUUUUAGCAAUCCAGUUUUUAAUUGUGCUUUGGUGUUGUAUAUCACCAAACAAAUGUGUAAUUGAUCAAAUUACCACAAAGUAAAUGACACACAGACAACCUGGAACCUUAGGGGCCCCUGAGUUUCUGGGGCCUCGCUGCAGUUGUCCACUUUGCCCAGUUGGUAAUCCAGCCAUGGACGUAAUAAAUCAAGUUGUGAGAAUUAGUAGAAUAAUUGAUUGUGUGUGAUAAUCAAUACAUUUGGUUUAGCGUCUUGAAACAGUUUCUUUUAAAAUGAUUGUGUACAGCACUGGAUGGAUUAUCGAACGGACCUGCCGGACACAGACCCAAGGGCCUAAGGGCUCAGGGGCCCCAAAGCUCAAGUUAUUAACAUUUCUUGUUGAACAGUAAAAGGUUUUGUUGAAGAAAUAACUUUCACUGUCACUUUGAAGUAGGGAUCCGAGUCCUUUAAUAUUGAAUAUUUGAGUAAUAAAAGAGCAUCUCUUUCUACAUAAACCAGCUGCACACUUCUCCCACAUACCUGUUACAUUUAACAAAGACAUUACAGAUGUUUGACAGCUGAAUAGUUCUGAUAAAACUAGCCUGAAUCACAGUUUUCCUCCAGUAUUUUGAACAGUAUUUGUGUUACCACGUUCUAAUCAGGCUCCCUUUAUAAAGGGUUUAUAAGAUGUAAUGAAUGGCUUCCUCAGAGUUUCAUAGACCAGUUAUAAGCCAUCAUUAUAAGAACUUUUGGGUUGCCAGGUUGUGUUUUUUAGCUCUUAGCUCAUCAGUUAGACCCCUCCAAUGUACUAUUUGACCGCUUAACUACUGGAAAAGAUUUGCCAAAUUUACCAAAAUUGAUUUAUUAAUGACUCAAUAAAAUGUAUAACCGCAGACUUGACGGCUCAUUAGAAAGUGACAAACCAAUGAGCGUUUCUGAGUAGAUUACCAGCAUUGCUAACAGUAUUAUUACCACAUAGAAAGGAUGAACACCAGUCAGAGGGAUUUCUCACAAGCUGCUGUUGUUCCUAUUAGCGGCACAAAACAUUGUUUAUUAACCAUUAAUGAAGCCAUUAGUUACAACUUGUAACUCUUUACAAAGGCUGUUGUGUUAGAAAACUGGACUGUACUGAGUAUAGUACCUGAGAGAGUUAUAAUGGUCAGAGCCCAAAUGCUGCACAUAUUCUACAUUUAUCUAAACGGGGUGAUAUUAUUUAUUAUUUCACAAACAAAGUGUUUAGGUCAGCCCACAACCAAUCAGCAGCAAACUGAGCUGACUUACUGAAUGGCCUUUUGGUUAACAUACUUUAUAUGAAAAGGCAAAAC
This is a long non-coding RNA of Siniperca chuatsi (mandarin fish), 1819 nucleotides long. RefSeq lists it as uncharacterized. The transcript has 2 exons. The record is from RefSeq and is a predicted model, not a curated record. Lineage: Eukaryota; Metazoa; Chordata; Actinopteri; Centrarchiformes; Sinipercidae.